GCCUGGGUGGCUCAGUCGGUUAAGCAUCCAACUCUGUCUUGGCUCGGGUCACGAUCUCAUGGUUCGUGGGUUCGAGCCCCACAUCAGGCU
This 90-nucleotide transfer RNA is filed under the name Felis catus (domestic cat). It matches the Rfam family "tRNA". From Rfam's summary of the family: Transfer RNA (tRNA) molecules are approximately 80 nucleotides in length. The record is from Rfam by way of RNAcentral. Lineage: Eukaryota; Metazoa; Chordata; Mammalia; Carnivora; Felidae.